This 500-nucleotide ribosomal RNA is filed under the name uncultured bacterium. RNAcentral's name for it is "partial 16S ribosomal RNA". It matches the Rfam family "Bacterial small subunit ribosomal RNA", at positions 30 to 523 of the family's 1533-position model. The record is from RNAcentral.
AUUGAACGCUAGCGGGAUGCCUUACACAUGCAAGUCGAACGGCAGCACGGACUUCGGUCUGGUGGCGAGUGGCGAACGGGUGAGUAAAGUAUCGGAACGUGCCCAGUAGCGGGGGAUAACUACUCGAAAGAGUAGCUAAUACCGCAUACGCCCUACGGGGGAACGGGGGGGAUCGCAAGACCUCGCACUAUUGGAGCGGCAGAUAUCGGAUUAGCUAGUUGGUGGGGUAAAGGCCCACCCAGGCGACGAUCCGUAGCUGGUUUGAGAGGACGACCAGCCACACUGGGACUGAGACACGGCCCAGACUCCUACGGGAGGCAGCAGUGGGGAAUUUUGGACAAUGGGGGCAACCCUGAUCCAGCCAUCCCGCGUGUGCGAUGAAGGCCUUCGGGUUGUAAAGCACUUUUGGCAGGAAAGAAAUCGCAUGGGUUAAUACCCUGUGUGGAUGACGGUACCUGCAGAAUAAGCACCGGCUAACUACGUGCCAGCCGCCGCUGUAA